RNAcentral lists this ribosomal RNA (1422 nucleotides) under uncultured bacterium. RNAcentral's name for it is "16S ribosomal RNA". It matches the Rfam family "Bacterial small subunit ribosomal RNA". The record is from RNAcentral.
AGAGUUUGAUCAUGGCUCAGAACAAACGCUGGCGGUAUGCUUAACACAUGCAAGUCGUACGAGAAAGGUGCUUUCGGGUGCUGAGUAAAGUGGCGGACGGGUGAGUAACGCGUGAGCAAGCUACCCUGGAGAGGAGGAUAACAUUCCGAAAGGGGUGCUAAUACUCCAUGAAAUUAUUAUAUUGCAUGGUAUGAUAAUCAAAGGAGGGCCUAUCGGAGAAGCUCUUGCUCUGGGAUGUGUUCGCGUACCAUUGGCUAGUUGGUGGGGUAAAGGCUCACCAAGGCGAUGAUGGUUAGCCGACCUGAGAGGGUAUUCGGCCACACUGGGACUGAGAUACGGCCCAGACUCCUACGGGAGGCAGCAGUGGGGAAUAUUGCGCAAUGGGAGCAAUCCUGACGCAGCAAUACCGCGUGGACGAUGAAGGCCUUUGGGUUGUAAAGUCCUGUCAGGCGGGAAGAAGUGCUAUGUAUCGAACAGGUGCAUAGUUUGACGGUACCACCUGAGGAAGCUCCGGCUAACUCCGUGCCAGCAGCCGCGGUAAUACGGAGGGGGCGAGCGUUGUUCGGAAUUACUGGGCGUAAAGGGCGCGUAGGCGGUCUGGUAAGUUAGGUGUGAAAGACCUUGGCUCAACCAAGGAAUAGCAUUUAAAACUGCUGGGCUUGAGUAUAGGAGAGGAGAGUGGAAUUCCCAGUGUAGCGGUGAAAUGCGUAGAUAUUGGGAGGAACACCGGUGGCGAAGGCGGCUCUCUGGACUAAUACUGACGCUGAGGCGCGAAAGCCAGGGGAGCGAACGGGAUUAGAUACCCCGGUAGUCCUGGCUGUAAACGAUGGACACUAGGUGUGGGAGGUAUCGAAUCCUUCUGUGCCGGAGCUAACGCAUUAAGUGUCCCGCCUGGGGAGUACGUUCGCAAGAAUGAAACUCAAAGGAAUUGACGGGGGCCCGCACAAGCGGUGGAGCAUGUGGUUUAAUUCGAAGCAACGCGAAGAACCUUACCGGGGUUUGACAUCUACCUGCAAGCCUUAGAGAUAGGGUAUUCCCUUCGGGGACGGGUAGACAGGUGCUGCAUGGCUGUCGUCAGCUCGUGUCGUGAGAUGUUGGGUUAAGUCCCGCAACGAGCGCAACCCUCACCCUUAGUUGCCAACAGGUUAAGCUGGGAACUCUAAGGGAACUGCCGGUGAUAAACCGGAGGAGGGUGGGGAUGACGUCAAGUCCUCAUGGCCCUUAUGUCCCGGGCUACACACGUGCUACAAUGGCUGGUACAAAGGGUAUAUGAGCGAUACCGCGAGGUGGAGCUAAUCCCAUAAAGCCGGUCACAGUUCGGAUUGGAGUCUGCAACUCGACUCCAUGAAGUGGGAAUCGCUAGUAAUCGUGGAUCAGCAUGCCACGGUGAAUACGUUCCCGGGCCUUGUACACACCGCCCGU